Enhydra lutris kenyoni (northern sea otter) is the source of this 1458-nucleotide RNA transcript. It is a transcript of the gene named ribosome biogenesis protein WDR12 pseudogene, with no coding region annotated. The record is from RefSeq and is a predicted model, not a curated record. NCBI's taxonomy places the organism in Eukaryota, Metazoa, Chordata, Mammalia, Carnivora, Mustelidae. The transcript has a single exon.
AUCUUCUCGCGUACCUGUGCAAGCUAACGUUGAGCUGCCUCUUUUUGUAACAGACCAGAGCGCCUGUUGCCUAUUACCACUUACGCUUCUGUAGACAAGUCUUGUGGGUACUCCUCGCCAUGGCUCAGCUCCAGACACGCUUCUUCACUGACAACAAGAAAUACGCGGUAGAUGAUGUUCCCUUCUCAAUUCCUGCAGCCUCUGAAAUUGCUGACCUUAGUAACAUCAUCAAUAAAUUGCUGGAGGCCAAAAAUGAGUUCCACAAACAUGUGGAGUUCGAUUUCCUUAUCAAGGGUCAGUUUCUGCGAAUGCCCUUGCUCAAACACAUGGAACUGGAAAACAUCUCCUCAGAAGAGGUUGUGGAACUGGAAUAUGUGGAGAAGUACACUGCUCCUCAGCCAGAGCAAUGCAUGUUCCAUGAUGACUGGAUCAGUUCCGUCCAAGGGGCAGAGGAAUGGAUCUUGACUGGUUCUUAUGAUAAGACUUCUCGGAUCUGGUCCUUGGAAGGAAAGUCAAUAAUGACAAUUGUGGGACAUACAGACGUUGUAAAAGAUGUGGCCUGGGUGAAAAAAGAUAGUUUGUCUUGCCUACUACUGAGUGCCUCUAUGGAUCAGACGAUUCUCUUAUGGGAGUGGAAUGUGGAGAGAAACAAAGUGAAAGUCCUGCACUGCUGCAGAGGUCAUGCCGGAAGUGUGGAUUCUAUAGCUGUUGAUAGUACGGGAACUAAAUUUUGCAGUGGCUCCUGGGAUAAGAUGCUAAAGAUCUGGUCUACCGUUCCUACAGAUGAAGAAGAUGAAAUGGAGGAAUCCACAAAUCGACCAAGAAAGAAACAGAAAACAGAGCAGUUGGGACUAACGAGGACUCCCAUAGUGACCCUCUCUGGCCAUAAGGAAGCAAUUUCUUCAGUUCUGUGGUCAGAUGCUGAAGAAAUCUGCAGUGCAUCUUGGGACCACACAAUUAGGGUGUGGGAUGUAGAGUCUGGCAGUCUUAAGUCAACUUUGACAGGAAAUAAAGUGUUUAAUUGUAUAUCCUAUUCUCCACUUUGUAAACGUUUAGCAUCUGGAAGCACAGAUAGGCAUAUCAGACUGUGGGAUCCUCGAACUAAAGAUGGUUCUUUGGUGUCGCUGUCCCUAACCUCACAUACAGGCUGGGUCACAUCAUUAAAGUGGUCUCCUACCCAUGAGCAGCAGCUGAUUUCAGGUUCUUUAGAUAACAUUGUCAAACUGUGGGAUACAAGAAGUUGUAAGGCUCCUCUCUAUGAUCUGGCUGCUCAUGAAGACAAAGUUCUGAGUGUAGACUGGACAGACACAGGGUUACUUCUGAGUGGAGGAGCAGACAAUAAACUGUAUUCCUACAGAUAUUCACCUACUACUUCUCAUGUGGGGGCAUGAACGUGAAUGAUAAAUUUGACUACAGAGAUUGUUUCUGUACAUGAAAUUGAUAAAGAAGCCUCAUAUU